This is a non-coding RNA of Lynx canadensis (Canada lynx), 517 nucleotides long. NCBI's taxonomy places the organism in Eukaryota, Metazoa, Chordata, Mammalia, Carnivora, Felidae. The record is from the annotation of a RefSeq genome assembly.
AUGGCUGGGGCUGUGACCUCAGCCUUCAGGAACAUAGAGGAGCAACCCGAGAGGAGGUCCAUGGGAGGAGGACAGAGCAGUCAGCCCAAGUCCGCACCCUUGGUCAUGCUCUUCCUGCCCUUCUCUGAGGAGCUCAGAGCCAACAAGGCCAUCCUGGUGUGCCUCAUCAGUGACUUCUACCCUGGCAACUUGACGGUGACCUGGAAGGCAGACGGGACCCCUGUCACCCAGGGCGUGGAGACCACCAAGCCUUUCAAACAGAGCAACAACAAGUAUGUGGCCAGCAGCUACCUGAGUCUGUCACCUGACAAGUGGAAAUCUUAUAGCAAUUUUACCUGCCAGGUCACACACGAGGGGAGCACCGUGGAGAAGAGGGUGGUGCCCUCAGAGUGCUCUUAGGUACCUGAGACCCCCACUCACCCAAGAGGAUGUGCAGCCAAUGGACCUCCAGGAAGGUCUCUCCUCCCACCAGGAUCAUCCCAGCCCUUCUCCCUGCACCCAAUCAAUGCUCAAUAAA